GCUGGUCUGAGAGGACGACCAGCCACACUGGGACUGAGACACGGCCCAGACUCUACGGGAGGCAGCAGUGGGGAAUUUUGGACAAUGGGCGAAAGCCUGAUCCAGCCAUGCCGCGUGCAGGAUGAAGGCCUUCCGCCCUGUAAACUGCUUUUGUACGGAACGAAAAGACUCUGGUUAAUACCUGGGGUCCAUGACGGUACCGUAAGAAUAAGCACCGGCUAACUACGUGCCAGCAGCCGCGGUAAUACGUAGGGUGCAAGCGUUAAUCGGAAUUACUGGGCGUAAAGCGUGCGCAGGCGGUUAUAUAAGACAGAUGUGAAAUCCCCGGGCUCAACCUGGGAACUGCAUUUGUGACUGUAUAGCUAGAGUACGGCAGAGGGGGAUGGAAUUCCGCGUGUAGCAGUGAAAUGCGUAGAUAUGCGGAGGNAACACCGAUGGCGAAGGCAAUCCCCUGGGCCUGUACUGACGCUCAUGCACGAAAGCGUGGUGAGCAAACAGGAUUAGAUACCCUGGUAGUCCACGCCCUAAACGAUGUCAACUGGUUGUUGGGUCUUCACUGACUCAGUAACGAAGCUAACGCGUGAAGUUGACCGCCUGGGGAGUACGGCCGCAAGGUNUGAANNACUCAAAGGAAUUGACGGGGACCCGCACAAGCGGUGGAUGAUGUGGUUUAAUUCGAUGCAACGCGAAAAACCUUACCCACCUUUGACAUGUACGGAAUCCUUUAGAGAUAGAGGAGUGCUCGAAAGAGAGCCGUAACACAGGUGCUGCAUGGCUGUCGUCAGCUCGUGUCGUGAGAUGUU
This 803-nucleotide ribosomal RNA is filed under the name uncultured Acidovorax sp. RNAcentral describes it as "bacterial SSU rRNA". It matches the Rfam family "Bacterial small subunit ribosomal RNA", at positions 286 to 1076 of the family's 1533-position model. Lineage: Bacteria; Pseudomonadati; Pseudomonadota; Betaproteobacteria; Burkholderiales; Comamonadaceae. The record is from RNAcentral.